Molecule: small nuclear RNA, 176 nt
Organism: Heterocephalus glaber (naked mole-rat)
Lineage: Eukaryota; Metazoa; Chordata; Mammalia; Rodentia; Bathyergidae
Gene: U2
Rfam family: U2 spliceosomal RNA
About the family: U2 is a small nuclear RNA (snRNA) component of the spliceosome (involved in pre-mRNA splicing). Complementary binding between U2 snRNA (in an area lying towards the 5' end but 3' to hairpin I) and the branchpoint sequence (BPS) of the intron results the bulging out of an unpaired adenosine, on the BPS, which initiates a nucleophilic attack at the intronic 5' splice site, thus starting the first of two transesterification reactions that mediate splicing.
Source: Ensembl
AUCGCUUCUCGGCCUUUUGGCUAAGAUUAAGUGUAGUAAAAAUGUUCUAUAGAUACUAAUAUAAAAUAGACAUUUUAAGUUAAAAAUAUAAUUGUAUGUGUAGUUACAUGUACUUAGGCAGGAGGGAUAGGUCGGUAUAAUACAGAAUGUACACCACUGUAAAUGUACAACUGCAA